AUUAUUAUCGUUUAAAAAAGUAUAAUGUUUUAAUAUUAUUGUUGUAAGACAAUUUUUAAUAUUGUUUAUGUUGUAUAAUACAUAUGGAUAUUUUUAUGAAAUAAAUGAUUAUUUUGGAUUUGAAUUAUUAGAUUUUUAAAAUUUUAUAUAUUAUUUUUAUUGGUUUUUUUAAUGUAUUUUAUUUUAAAAUUUAUAUUCUAGAAAUUAAUCAUAUAUAAUUCAAAUUUAUUAAAAAUA
This 237-nucleotide transfer RNA is filed under the name Pneumocystis jirovecii. RNAcentral describes it as "tRNA-Pseudo(TTA)". Lineage: Eukaryota; Fungi; Ascomycota; Pneumocystomycetes; Pneumocystales; Pneumocystaceae. The record is from RNAcentral.